CCCGGAAGUUAAGCCCGCCAGCGUACCGCCUUGUACUACGGUGCGCGAGCCCGUGGGAAGGGCGGUUCGCUGUCAAGC
Molecule: ribosomal RNA, 78 nt
Filed under: Thermoplasmata archaeon
Lineage: Archaea; Methanobacteriati; Thermoplasmatota; Thermoplasmata
Source: RNAcentral